GAGGAAAAAAGUGAGUGUUAACUGUGGGUGUGUUGCAAAAUUCCUACUUUGAUGCUGAGCCCACAGACCAGCAUAACAGUAUAAUCUCUCUCUCCUCUCUCUCUCUCACAUGCACGCACGCACACACACACACACACACACACAGAAAAAAACCCAUAUUCCCACUUGAAGGCAGUUAGGCAGGAAGAAUUCCCUCUUAUUCAAGCUUUUGUUCUAUU
Molecule: long non-coding RNA, 218 nt
Filed under: Homo sapiens (human)
Lineage: Eukaryota; Metazoa; Chordata; Mammalia; Primates; Hominidae
Description: non-protein coding lnc-WHAMM-4:1
Source: RNAcentral